CUCCAAGGCUAAAUACUCCUGACUGACCGAUAGUGAACCAGUACCGUGAGGGAAAGGCGAAAAGAACCCCGGCGAGGGGAGUGAAAAAGAACCUGAAACCGUGUACGUACAAGCAGUGGGAGCCUCUUUUAUGGGGUGACUGCGUACCUUUUGUAUAAUGGGUCAGCGACUUAUAUUCUGUAGCAAGGUUAACCGAAUAGGGGAGCCGAAGGGAAACCGAGUCUUAACUGGGCGUUAAGUUGCAGGGUAUAGACCC
This 256-nucleotide ribosomal RNA is filed under the name Escherichia coli. RNAcentral describes it as "partial 23S ribosomal RNA". It matches the Rfam family "Bacterial large subunit ribosomal RNA", at positions 458 to 716 of the family's 2925-position model. Lineage: Bacteria; Pseudomonadati; Pseudomonadota; Gammaproteobacteria; Enterobacterales; Enterobacteriaceae. The record is from RNAcentral.